Molecule: ribosomal RNA, 253 nt
Filed under: uncultured bacterium
Lineage: Bacteria
Description: partial 16S ribosomal RNA
Rfam family: Bacterial small subunit ribosomal RNA
Source: RNAcentral
UACAGAGGGUGCAAGCGUUGUUCGGAAUUACUGGGCGUAAAGCGUGUGUAGGUGGUUGUCCAAGUUGGAUGUGAAAGCCUUGAGCUCAACUCAAGAAAUGCAUUCAGGACUGGAUGGCUAGAGGACCGGAGAGGAUAGUGGAAUUCCCAGUGUAGUGGUGAAAUACGUAGAGAUUGGGAAGAACACCAGUGGCGAAGGCGGCUAUCUGGACGGUUUCUGACACUAAGACUCGAAAGCGUGGGGAGCAAACAGG